UACGUAGGGGGCUAGCGUUGUCCGGAAUCAUUGGGCGUAAAGCGCGUGUAGGCGGUCCGGUAAGUCCGCUGUGAAAGUCGGGGGCUCAACCCUCGGAUGCCGGUGGAUACUGUCGGGCUUGAGUACGGAAGAGGCGAGUGGAAUUCCUGGUGUAGCGGUGAAAUGCGCAGAUAUCAGGGGGAACACCAAUUGCGAAGGCAGCUCGCUGGGACGUUACUGACGCUGAGACGCGAAAGCGUGGGGAGCAAACAGG
RNAcentral lists this ribosomal RNA (253 nucleotides) under uncultured bacterium. RNAcentral describes it as "partial 16S ribosomal RNA". It matches the Rfam family "Bacterial small subunit ribosomal RNA", at positions 524 to 776 of the family's 1533-position model. The record is from RNAcentral.